RNAcentral lists this ribosomal RNA (823 nucleotides) under uncultured bacterium. RNAcentral's name for it is "bacterial SSU rRNA". It matches the Rfam family "Bacterial small subunit ribosomal RNA", at positions 9 to 873 of the family's 1533-position model. The record is from RNAcentral.
AGAGUUUGAUCCUGGCUCAGGAUGAACGCUGGCGGUAUGCUUAACACAUGCAAGUCGAACGGUCUCUUCGGAGAUAGUGGCGGACGGGUGAGUAACGCGUGAGAAUCUGGCUCCAGGUCGGGGACAACAGUUGGAAACGACUGCUAACACCGGAUGUGCCGAGAGGUAAAAGAUUUAUUGCCUGGAGAUGAGCUCGCGUCUGAUUAGCUAGUUGGUGUGGUAAGAGCGCACCAAGGCGACGAUCAGUAGCUGGUCUGAGAGGAUGAUCAGCCACACUGGGACUGAGACACGGCCCAGACUCCUACGGGAGGCAGCAGUGGGGAAUUUUCCGCAAUGGGCGAAAGCCUGACGGAGCAAUACCGCGUGAGGGAGGAAGGCUCUUGGGUUGUAAACCUCUUUUCUCAAGGAAUAAAAAAAUGAAGGUACUUGAGGAAUAAGCAUCGGCUAACUCCGUGCCAGCAGCCGCGGUAAUACGGAGGAUGCAAGCGUUAUCCGGAAUGAUUGGGCGUAAAGGGUCCGCAGGUGGCAGUGUAAGUCUGCUGUCAAAGAAUGAGGCUUAACCUCAUCAAGGCAGUGGAAACUACACAGCUAGAGUACGGUCGGGGUAGAAGGAAUUCCUGGUGUAGCGGUGAAAUGCGUAGAGAUCAGGAAGAACACCGGUGGCGAAAGCGUUCUGCUAGACCUGUACUGACACUGAGGGACGAAAGCUAGGGGAGCGAAUGGGAUUAGAUACCCCAGUAGUCCUAGCCGUAAACGAUGGAUACUAGGCGUGGCUUGUAUCGACCCGAGCCGUGCCGGAGCCAACGCGUUAAGUAUCCCGCCU